RNAcentral lists this long non-coding RNA (676 nucleotides) under Equus caballus (horse). Its description in RNAcentral is "lncRNA (ENSECAG00000054021.1)". Lineage: Eukaryota; Metazoa; Chordata; Mammalia; Perissodactyla; Equidae. The record is from RNAcentral.
UGCAUUUUUCUCAUCAUUGAAGAAUCAGCCCCAUCACAGGCCCUCAGAGACAGUAGUACUUACUGGCCAUCAAAUAUAGCUAAGAUAAUGUGUUGUCAUCUAGUGGUUUUAUAUCAAUGAAAUUUACCAAAGAAUCAGUUCGUGAAAGAGAAAAAGGAAGACAAUACUUCAACAGGUACCUGUCCCUCUCCUCGGGAUACUUGACCCCACACCUCACCUCUGUAAUUAUCAUUCAUUCUUCAAGUCUCAGGUUGGCAAGUUGAAUUCACUGGUGAACUAAAGCAGACUGGUAACGAUAGAGGUUGGAAGGAGAGGAGCCAAGCAAUAAAGAAAAAAACACUGUCCUCCAAAGUAUUGCACUAGAUUCUCUUCAUUUCCUUUUCCUUCCUGACCCAUUAAUUUGGAAGUUCCAUAAUUCUUUCCAGUGCACCAGUGUUUAUCUUCUGAUUUAACGUGAAUGCCUUAGAAGACGGCAUUUAAGGCAAGAUUGAAGCCCUAUUAUGGCUGCUCAAUGUACCUCCCAUGUCAUGCUAUAGUUGUUUGAGAAACUCAUUCUAAAAGAAAAAAGACUGUCUGCACAAUCCAUGCCAAAGAAGCUUUGAUAAUCAGGCCAAUCACCUAAUUACAAGUUUGUAUUUCUAUUCCCACUGAGAUGUGCCAAUUAAAAGGAUUCGAC